RNAcentral lists this ribosomal RNA (484 nucleotides) under uncultured bacterium. Its description in RNAcentral is "partial 16S ribosomal RNA". It matches the Rfam family "Bacterial small subunit ribosomal RNA", at positions 30 to 507 of the family's 1533-position model. The record is from RNAcentral.
AUUGAACGCUGGCGGCAGGCCUAACACAUGCAGGUCGAGCGGAUGAAGGGAGCUUGCUCCUGGAUUCAGCGGCGGACGGGUGAGUAAUGCCUAGGAAUCUGCCUGGUAGUGGGGGAUAACGUCCGGAAACGGGCGCUAAUACCGCAUACGUCCUGAGGGAGAAAGUGGGUGAUCUUCGGACCUCACGCUAUCAGAUGAGCCUAGGUCGGAUUAGCUAGUUGGUGGGGUAAAGGCCUACCAAGGCGACGAUCCGUAACUGGUCUGAGAGGAUGAUCUGUCACACUGGAACUGAGACACGGUCCAGACUCCUACGGGAGGCAGCAGUGGGGAAUAUUGGACAAUGGGCGAAAGCCUGAUCCAGCCAUGCCGCGUGUGUGAAGAAGGUCUUCGGAUUGUAAAGCACUUUAAGUUGGGAGGAAGGGCAGUAAGUUAAUACCUUGCUGUUUUGACGUUACCAACAGAAUAAGCACCGGCUAACUUCGUG